This 288-nucleotide long non-coding RNA is filed under the name Malus domestica (apple). RNAcentral's name for it is "long non-coding RNA (MDOM_LNC015438)". The record is from RNAcentral. Lineage: Eukaryota; Viridiplantae; Streptophyta; Magnoliopsida; Rosales; Rosaceae.
UUAAAAAGGAUAAAUUACAUAGUAGCCCCUCAAGUUUGAGGUCUAUUACAAUCGCAUACAACAAUUUCAAAACAUUUCACUUUCAUACCUCAACUACUAUUUUUUUUCAAUAUAGUACCUCCGUUAUAUUUUCCAUCCACUAAUCCAUUAAAUGUUGAAGUGGCUGCCACAUAUAUGCCAUGUGGCUGCCAAAUGUCUGCCACAUGGCAAAUAAAAUAAUUUUUUUAUUUUUUUUGAAAAACCCGAAUUUCUAAACAAAACAAAAUUGAGAAGAAAAAAAAUUGAAAC